GNCUAAUACAUGCAAGUCGAGCGGACAGAAGGGAGCUUGCUCCCGGAUGUUAGCGGCGGACGGGUGAGUAACACGUGGGUAACCUGCCUGUAAGACUGGGAUAACUCCGGGAAACCGGAGCUAAUACCGGAUAGUUCCUUGAACCGCAUGGUUCAAGGAUGAAAGACGGUUUCGGCUGUCACUUACAGAUGGACCCGCGGCGCAUUAGCUAGUUGGUGGGGUAAUGGCUCACCAAGGCGACGAUGCGUAGCCGACCUGAGAGGGUGAUCGGCCACACUGGGACUGAGACACGGCCCAGACUCCUACGGGAGGCAGCAGUAGGGAAUCUUCCGCAAUGGACGAAAGUCUGACGGAGCAACGCCGCGUGAGUGAUGAAGGUUUUCGGAUCGUAAAGCUCUGUUGUUAGGGAAGAACAAGUGCGAGAGUAACUGCUCGCACCUUGACGGUACCUAACCAGAAAGCCACGGCUAACUACGUGCCAGCAGCCGCGGUAAUACGUAGGUGGCAAGCGUUGUCCGGAAUUAUUGGGCGUAAAGGGCUCGCAGGCGGUUUCUUAAGUCUGAUGUGAAAGCCCCCGGCUCAACCGGGGAGGGUCAUUGGAAACUGGGAAACUUGAGUGCAGAAGAGGAGAGUGGAAUUCCACGUGUAGCGGUGAAAUGCGUAGAGAUGUGGAGGAACACCAGUGGCGAAGGCGACUCUCUGGUCUGUAACUGACGCUGAGGAGCGAAAGCGUGGGGAGCGAACAGGAUUAGAUACCCUGGUAGUCCACGCCGUAAACGAUGAGUGCUAAGUGUUAGGGGGUUUCCGCCCCUUAGUGCUGCAGCUAACGCAUUAAGCACUCCGCCUGGGGAGUACGGUCGCAAGACUGAAACUCAAAGGAAUUGACGGGGGCCCGCACAAGCGGUGGAGCAUGUGGGUUUAAUUCGAAGCAACGCGAAGA
Molecule: ribosomal RNA, 940 nt
Filed under: Bacillus safensis
Lineage: Bacteria; Bacillati; Bacillota; Bacilli; Caryophanales; Bacillaceae
Description: bacterial SSU rRNA
Rfam family: Bacterial small subunit ribosomal RNA
Source: RNAcentral